GACUUAGCGGCGGACGGGUGAGUAACGCGUGGGUAACCUGCCUUACACUGGGGGAUAACAGUUAGAAAUGACUGCUAAUACCGCAUAAGCGCACAGGGCCGCAUGGCCUGGUGUGAAAAACUCCGGUGGUGUAAGAUGGACCCGCGUCUGAUUAGGUAGUUGGUGGGGUAACGGCCCACCAAGCCGACGACCAGUAGCCGACCUGAGAGGGUGACCGGCCACAUUGGGACUGAGACACGGCCCAA
RNAcentral lists this ribosomal RNA (245 nucleotides) under uncultured bacterium. RNAcentral's name for it is "partial 16S ribosomal RNA". It matches the Rfam family "Bacterial small subunit ribosomal RNA", at positions 89 to 334 of the family's 1533-position model. The record is from RNAcentral.